GGUGUACAGAAUGCCAUCAGCUGCCUCUUAAUGUAACCCUGGCCUGUUGCCCCCCCCACCCCCCGUGCUAAUGUGGCUGCAUUAUAGGACUCCAAGGGUAGCUAUAAACUCUCUAGAUAACUGUGGGCCACAUUGAUUUAGUACAAGGGAGAUGGUACCCAAAGGAAUUAGAGCAAGACAUCAUUAGCCACUGCUCUUUGGUUGGUGGAUGGCUGGUUUCCAUAAUGACAGGAAGGCACAGAGUAAUGAAGUCCUGUCGCUGUAUUUCCCAUCGUUGUCAUCGAGAAAUACGUGUGCAAACAUGUAGGAGUUUGGAUCAAAGACAAAAUAGACGGGACUGGGAACUGGACUUUUACAACAUCCUUAAUAUUUAACUAAAGCAAACUAAGAGGGGAAAAUGGAACAAAGAGAUUAUUCACUAACAAGAUUCAUCGCAUCCAUUCUGAAAGCUGUAGGGCCAGCCAUGGAGGAGUGUUGCUUUGUCAACUCGAACUGUCUUACUUACCCAAAUACUGUCUGUGCCCAAGGAGAAGCCUGGUUAUGACGUACAAAGUGAGGAGCAGGCAAAGACAGAAACUUUAUUUGGCAUCUUCAAUAAAUGAUAACUUUGUGGAA
RNAcentral lists this long non-coding RNA (615 nucleotides) under Mus musculus (house mouse). RNAcentral describes it as "predicted gene, 49631". Lineage: Eukaryota; Metazoa; Chordata; Mammalia; Rodentia; Muridae. The record is from RNAcentral.